RNAcentral lists this ribosomal RNA (468 nucleotides) under uncultured bacterium. RNAcentral describes it as "partial 16S ribosomal RNA". It matches the Rfam family "Bacterial small subunit ribosomal RNA", at positions 28 to 506 of the family's 1533-position model. The record is from RNAcentral.
GACGAACGCUGGCGGCGUGCUUAACACAUGCAAGUCGAACGGAAAGGCCCUGCUUUUGUGGGGUGCUCGAGUGGCGAACGGGUGAGUAACACGUGAGUAACCUGCCCUUGACUUUGGGAUAACUUCAGGAAACUGGGGCUAAUACCGGAUAGGAGCUCCUGCUGCAUGGUGGGGGUUGGAAAGUUUCGGCGGUUGGGGAUGGACUCGCGGCUUAUCAGCUUGUUGGUGGGGUAGUGGCUUACCAAGGCUUUGACGGGUAGCCGGCCUGAGAGGGUGACCGGGCACAUUGGGGCUGGGGGAGCGGCCAGGCUCCCUCCGGGGGCAAGGGGCGGGGAAUUUUGCCAAAGGGGCGGAGCCCGGAUGCAGAACCGCCGGGGGGGGGAUGACGGCCUUCGGGUUGAAACCCGUUUUCGCCUUGGACGAAGGGGGGGGGGCGGUAAUGGUGAAAGAAGCACCGGCGAACUACGG